Molecule: long non-coding RNA, 1358 nt
Organism: Notolabrus celidotus (New Zealand spotty)
Lineage: Eukaryota; Metazoa; Chordata; Actinopteri; Labriformes; Labridae
Exons: 2
Source: RefSeq, a predicted model, not a curated record
AAGAAAAUAUUUCAUUUGGGAUUUGAUUACUCCUGGGCACUUAUGGGAGAAAAUAAGCAAGGAUCCCAUUGCGAAACUAUCCAAAUAAAGGGAGCGGAGCAUCAAUGUUUUGAGAGCAUACAUACAGUGAAGAUUCUCGCCUCAGUGCUCUGUGCCUGUGUAUAUUUAUACUGACUGCACCACAGCUUCGGAGGCUUAUUGAAAAGGCUUGCGGUAAGCUAAUUCAAACCUGUUAGCGCAGAGGAUCCUUUGACCUCCAUUAGACUUGUCAAUAUUAUUGUGGUCAAGCUCAAGUGUUAAAUAUCAUGAGUGUCUCAGAACUGUAAAGCUGUGGGGUCAUGGUUCGGGGAAAUGGUGGUCAGGAGUAUAUGUUUCUCUCAGGACCUCUGAGUUAAGAGGAGGUCAAGACUUUGGAUGGUGCACUUCUGGACCAGCCAACACCUGCUGCUUGUCUACACAGCGACCUUAAAAAAAACAGCUCUUCAUGCAGCAGACUUCCUCCGAGGGAGAGAAGCAGACAGUGCCUGAAGAGAAAAGAGUCUACAAAUACCUUCUGUUGGUUAGAGCCAGGCUUACUACCACAUCGCAGAGGAUUUAAUGCAUCAAAUAUUCAAAGACUUUGAUCACUGCACUUGACGAAUUAUGCAUGUGAAGGCCUUUAGUAUUGUCUGAAAAGUUCAUGACUCCCUCUCACAAUCCAUCUGUGGUCUCUGGCAAAGAAGUCAAUAAGAAACUGCUUCUAUACAGCUCUUGUUUGAGAGAGGAGGAUACUUUUAAAGUCUGACGUGGCUUCCUAGGUUUUGACCGUGGAUAUCGCCAACAAAUGAACCAGUCUAUGGAUAAAAUAUGGAGGACUGGAUCUCUCCAGCUGCUGACCCUGCUGAAAAGCAAGGGCACUAAUGGAGGUGCACCAGCUAGAAAUGCCCUGCGUGUGUCUCACCUACCUGCAUGCUGAAAAGGUGAGAGCAUGGUGAGAGCACAGCAACAGGUCACUGUGAUGCUUCCUGGGAAAUGAUGUGCUGUAUCAGAGACAUUGACCUCCAUGGUUCUACACACUGCCUGAAAAGUCCUGAGCCAUGUGGAUCUGUGUUAGUACCAGUUCAUGUAAAAGCUGUCAACAAGUGUGGACGUUCCAAGAUACCAUUAUUUGGAAGUAUUAGUAUUACUCUGUGUUUCCAGAUGUUUUAGUUAUUAUCAUAAAACACAUGUUCAAGUCUUCUCCUUUGUUUUCAGUCUCACACAUCCUCCCAUUGUUCCACCUUCUUCUCCAUCUCCCUUCUUCCUUCGUAAAACACAAUAUGCUGGACAUGUGUUUCAUGUUUGAUUUAGCACAUAAUUAAUAAAAUCUGUUUGGCUCA